AAAUGAAUAGACGGGGGCCCGCACAAGCGGUGGAUUAUGUGGUUUAAUUCGAAGCAACGCGCAGAACCUCACCUAGGUUUGACAUCCCACGACAAUCUUGGAAACAAGACUUUGUAGCAAUACACGUGGAGACAGGUGCUGCAUGGCUGUCGUCAGCUCGUGUUGUGAAAUGUUGGGUUAAGUCCCGCAACGAGCGCAACCCCUGGAAUUAGUUGCCAGCAUUAAGUUGGGCACUCUAAUUUGACUGCCGGCGUUAAGCCGGAGGAAGGUGGGGACGACGUCAAGUCCUCAUGGCCCUUACACCUAGGGCUACACACGUAAUACAAUGGAUAGGACAAAGGGUUGCCAACCUGCAAAGGGGAGCUAAUCUCAAAAACCUGUCCUCAGUUCGGAUUGGAGGCUGCAAUUCGCCUCCAUGAAGGCGGAAUCGCUAGUAAUCGUGGAUCAGCACGCCACGGUGAAUACGUUCCCGGGCCUUGCACACACCGCCCGU
This 493-nucleotide ribosomal RNA is filed under the name uncultured bacterium. Its description in RNAcentral is "bacterial SSU rRNA". It matches the Rfam family "Bacterial small subunit ribosomal RNA", at positions 903 to 1397 of the family's 1533-position model. The record is from RNAcentral.